CUUUUUACAAGAAAACUUGUAGAUAUUAAUGGUCUUGAGCUAUUGAAUCGGGUUUAAGGUUCGUAAUCUUUGAAAAAUGAAAGUGGCCGA
RNAcentral lists this transfer RNA (90 nucleotides) under Candida albicans. RNAcentral's name for it is "tRNA-Thr". The record is from RNAcentral. Lineage: Eukaryota; Fungi; Ascomycota; Pichiomycetes; Serinales; Debaryomycetaceae.